Athene cunicularia (burrowing owl) is the source of this 268-nucleotide long non-coding RNA. RefSeq lists it as uncharacterized. NCBI's taxonomy places the organism in Eukaryota, Metazoa, Chordata, Aves, Strigiformes, Strigidae. The transcript has 3 exons. The record is from RefSeq and is a predicted model, not a curated record.
GGUAAGGCUGCUGCUGUUUUUUGCCUUUGGCGGAUAUCGUGGUUUUGUCAGGGACUAUUUGUCUCCUUCUAAACGUACUCCUCCACAACAACAGGAUGCUGUUGCCAGGAAGUGGUAUUCAUGAAGGCAGCAAUGCUGAGACAAACCAAAAGUCCAAAAAGUCCUUUACACCACUCCAUGGCUCAACAUUGCUGCCAUCGUGGUGGUGUGAAAGGUAACAGUACAGAAAGAGAAAGAGAAAAGCUAGAAAAAGCGCAGUACUGUCACU